This 253-nucleotide ribosomal RNA is filed under the name uncultured bacterium. RNAcentral describes it as "partial 16S ribosomal RNA". It matches the Rfam family "Bacterial small subunit ribosomal RNA", at positions 524 to 776 of the family's 1533-position model. The record is from RNAcentral.
UACAGAGGGUGCAAGCGUUAAUCGGAAUUACUGGGCGUAAAGCGCACGUAGGCGGUUUUUUAAGUCAGAUGUGAAAGCCCCGGGCUCAACCUGGGAAUUGCAUUUGAAACUGGAAAACUAGAGUGUGUGAGAGGGGGGUAGAAUUCCAAGUGUAGCGGUGAAAUGCGUUGAGAUUUGGAGGAAUACCAGUGGCGAAGGCGGCCCCCUGGCACAACACUGACGCUCAGGUGCGAAAGCGUGGGGAGCAAACAGG